UACAAUUUAAUCCUUAAUAAAGGGGUAAAAGAAAUUGUAUUUACAUACUCUAAAAAAAAUAUAUAGAUCUUACACUUCUAAUCCUAAAAUUUUCAAAAAUUUAAAUAAUUUUUAAUGAAGUCUAAAAAAAUUGAUCUGAUAAAUUUUAAUAAAAAAAUUAUUAAUUUUUAGAUGAAAUGGGUGUAGGAUAUAUAUUUCACUUUAGAUGUAUUAUUAAUAUUGGGAUAAUUAAACUUCAAAUGCCACCCAUUCAUACUUUCUCAUUUUAAUAUUCUGUGAUGUAAAGUGUAUCAAUUUAGUACUAUAUGAUUUUAUUUUUCUUUUUUUUUUUCAACCCUUUCAUUAAUUUUUCGUUAAAUUAUUUAUAAAAAAUUUCAAAUAAUCCAUUUAUAAUUGAUCGAAUAUUUACUUUAGUAUCCUUUAAUUUUAACUUUAUUAUUGAUUUAACGAAAAAAAAUUAGCGAAGUAAAUAAUAAAAAAAAUAUAAAAUCACAUAGUACGAAAAUAAUACACUUUAAAUCACCGAAUAUUAAAAUAAAAAAAAUAUAAAACUACGAGAAUAUUAUUUAAAGUUUUUCUUAAUAUUACUCAAUAAUUAAAUAAGUAAAUAAAUAAAUAAAUAAACACCU
RNAcentral lists this long non-coding RNA (629 nucleotides) under Ananas comosus (pineapple). RNAcentral's name for it is "long non-coding RNA (ACOM_LNC003591)". Lineage: Eukaryota; Viridiplantae; Streptophyta; Magnoliopsida; Poales; Bromeliaceae. The record is from RNAcentral.